CAUCACCCACUUAAAGGCAUUCAGAGAGCUGCUGAAGCAACCAGACUUAGAGGGACCAAGAUUCUGGAACGAUGUUGAGAGCGAGAGAGCACAAACCAAGAAGAGCUUCAUAGUCCAAAAGACUGAAGACAUAGAGAACUCACUUGAGCUCCUCAUCGACAGAGGGAUUUUGAAAAUGCUAAUUCAGCUCUGUAUGAACUGUAAAACCUCAUGGCCCAAUAUCUAAAAAAAAAAAAUUUGUCAUCA
This is a non-coding RNA of Callorhinus ursinus (northern fur seal), 246 nucleotides long. The record is from RefSeq and is a predicted model, not a curated record. NCBI's taxonomy places the organism in Eukaryota, Metazoa, Chordata, Mammalia, Carnivora, Otariidae.